GGGUGACUGCGUACCUUUUGUAUAAUGGGUCAGCGACUUAUAUUCUGUAGCAAGGUUAACCGUAUAGGGGAGCCGCAGGGAAACCGAGUCUUAACUGGGCGUUAAGUUGCAGGGUAUAGACCCGAAACCCGGUGAUCUAGCCAUGGGCAGGUUGAAGGUUGGGUAACACUAACUGGAGGACCGAACCGACUAAUGUUGAAAAAUUAGCGGAUGACUUGUGGCUGGGGGUGAAAGGCCAAUCAAACCGGGAGAUAGCUGGUUCUCCCCGAAAGCUAUUUAGGUAGCGCCUCGUGAAUUCAUCUUCGGGGGUAGAGCACUGUUUCGGCUAGGGGGUCAUCCCGACUUACCAACCCGAUGCAAACUACGAAUACCGAAGAAUGUUAUCACGGGAGACACACGGCGGGUGCUAACGUCCGUCGUGAAGAGGGAAACAACCCAGACCGCCAGCUAAGGUCCCAAAGUCAUGGUUAAGUGGGAAACGAUGUGGGAAGGCCCAGACAGCCAGGAUGUUGGCUUAGAAGCAGCCAUCAUUUAAAGAAAGCGUAAUAGCUCACUGGUCGAGUCGGCCUGCGCGGAAGAUGUAACGGGGCUAAACCAUGCACCGAAGCUGCGGCAGCGACACUAUGUGUUGUUGGGUAGGGGAGCGUUCUGUAAGCCGUUGAAGGUGGCCUGUGAGGGUUGCUGGAGGUAUCAGAAGUGCGAAUGCUGACAUAAGUAACGAUAAUGCGGGUGAAAAACCCGCACGCCGGAAGACCAAGGGUUCCUGUCCAACGUUAAUCGGGGCAGGGUGAGUCGACCCCUAAGGCGAGGCCGAAAGGCGUAGUCGAUGGGAAACAGGUUAAUAUUCCUGUACUCGGUGUUACUGCGAAGGGGGGACGGAGAAGGCUAUGUUGGCCGGGCGACGGUUGUCCCGGUUUAAGCAUGUAGGCGGAUGUUCCAGGUAAAUCCGGAACGUCACUAACGCUGAGGUGUGAUGACGAGGCACUACGGUGCUGAAGUGACAAAUGCCCUGCUUCCAGGAAAAGCCUCUAAGCAUCAGGUAACAUCAAAUCGUACCCCAAACCGACACAGGUGGUCAGGUAGAGAAUACCAAGGCGCUUGAGAGAACUCGGGUGAAGGAACUAGGCAAAAUGGUGCCGUAACUUCGGGAGAAGGCACGCUGAUGGUAGGUGAAG
Molecule: ribosomal RNA, 1175 nt
Filed under: Klebsiella michiganensis
Lineage: Bacteria; Pseudomonadati; Pseudomonadota; Gammaproteobacteria; Enterobacterales; Enterobacteriaceae
Description: partial 23S ribosomal RNA
Rfam family: Bacterial large subunit ribosomal RNA
Source: RNAcentral